Molecule: long non-coding RNA, 7570 nt
Filed under: Chlamydomonas reinhardtii
Lineage: Eukaryota; Viridiplantae; Chlorophyta; Chlorophyceae; Chlamydomonadales; Chlamydomonadaceae
Description: long non-coding RNA (CREI_LNC000957)
Source: RNAcentral
UGCCAGCCCUCACAGUGCCUUCAGUGCCCUUGCACGCCUGGACAAGGCGGGUGGGGGCCCUGCCUCCCAGCCAUCACCACACACCCCACCUGCCACACCCACCCUUGUGCACUGUUGUUUCACAUUUUCAUAUGUGCAUGUUACCUGACCUAUUUACAAUGCAGACAAGAGCAGGGAGCCAUGUUGCCAGCCCUCACAGUGCCUUCAGUGCCCUUGCACACCUGGACAAGGCGGGUGGGGGCCCUGCCACCCAGCCAUCACCACACACACCACCUGCCACACCCACCCUUGUGCACUGUUGUUUCACAUUUUCAUAUGUGCAUGUUGCCUGACCUAUUUGCAAUGCAGACACGAGCAGGGAGCCAUGUUGCCAGCCCUCACAGUGCCUUCAGUGCCCCUGCACGCCUGGACAAGGCGGGUGGGGUCCACACUGCCCAGCCAUCACCACACACCCCACCUGCCACACCCACCCUUGUGCACUGUUGUUUCACAUUUUCAUAUGUGCAUGUUGCCUGACCUAUUUGCAAUGCAGACACGAGCAGGGAGCCAUGUUGCCAGCCCUCACAGUGCCUUCAGUGCCCCUGCACGCCUGGACAAGGCGGGUGGGGUCCACACCGCCCAGCCAUCACCACACACCCCACCUGCCACACCCACCCUUGUGCACUGUUGUUUCACAUUUUCAUAUGUGCAUGUCGCCUGACCUAUUUGCAAUGCAGACACGAGCAGGGAGCCAUGUUGCCAGCCCUCACAGUGCCUUCAGUGCCCCUGCACGCCUGGACAAGGCGGGUGGGGUCCACACCGCCCAGCCAUCACCACACACCCCACCUGCCACACCCACCCUUGUGCACUGUUGUUUCACAUUUUCAUAUGUGCAUGUUGCCUGACCUAUUUGCAAUGCAGACACGAGCAGGGAGCCAUGUUGCCAGCCCUCACAGUGCCUUCAGUGCCCCUGCACGCACGCCUGGACAAGGCGGGUGGGGUCCACACCGCCCAGCCAUCACCACACACCCCACCUGCCACACCCACCCUUGUGCACUGUUGUUUCACAUUUUCAUAUGUGCAUGUUGCCUGACCUAUUUGCAAUGCAGACACGAGCAGGGAGCCAUGUUGCCAGCCCUCACAGUGCCUUCAGUGCCCCUGCACGCCUGGACAAGGCGGGUGGGGUCCACACCGCCCAGCCAUCACCACACACCCCACCUGCCACACCCACCCUUGUGCACUGUUGUUUCACAUUUUCAUAUGUGCAUGUUGCCUGACCUAUUUGCAAUGCAGACACGAGCAGGGAGCCAUGUUGCCAGCCCUCACAGUGCCUUCAGUGCCCCUGCACGCACGCCUGGACAAGGCGGGUGGGGUCCACACCGCCCAGCCAUCACCACACACCCCACCUGCCACACCCACCCUUGUGCACUGUUGUUUCACAUUUUCAUAUGUGCAUGUUGCCUGACCUAUUUGCAAUGCAGACACGAGCAGGGAGCCAUGUUGCCAGCCCUCACAGUGCCUUCAGUGCCCCUGCACGCACGCCUGGACAAGGCGGGUGGGGUCCACACCGCCCAGCCAUCACCACACACCCCACCUGCCACACCCACCCUUGUGCACUGUUGUUUCACAUUUUCAUAUGUGCAUGUUGCCUGACCUAUUUGCAAUGCAGACACGAGCAGGGAGCCAUGUUGCCAGCCCUCACAGUGCCUUCAGUGCCCCUGCACGCCUGGACAAGGCGGGUGGGGUCCACACCGCCCAGCCAUCACCACACACCCCACCUGCCACACCCACCCUUGUGCACUGUUGUUUCACAUUUUCAUAUGUGCAAGUUGCCUGACCUAUUUGCAAUGCAGACACGAGCAGGGAGCCAUGUUGCCAGCCCUCACAGUGCCUUCAGUGCCCCUGCACGCCUGGACAAGGCGGGUGGGGUCCACACCGCCCAGCCAUCACCACACACCCCACCUGCCACACCCACCCUUGUGCACUGUUGUUUCACAUUUUCAUAUGUGCAUGUUGCCUGACCUAUUUGCAAUGCAGACACGAGCAGGGAGCCAUGUUGCCAGCCCUCACAGUGCGUUCAGUGCCCCUGCACGCCUGGACAAGGCGGGUGGGGUCCACACCGCCCAGCCAUCACCACACACCCCACCUGCCACACCCACCCUUGUGCACUGUUGUUUCACAUUUUCAUAUGUGCAUGUUGCCUGACCUAUUUGCAAUGCAGACACGAGCAGGGAGCCAUGUUGCCAGCCCUCACAGUGCCUUCAGUGCCCCUGCACGCACGCCUGGACAAGGCGGGUGGGGUCCACACCGCCCAGCCAUCACCACACACCCCACCUGCCACACCCACCCUUGUGCACUGUUGUUUCACAUUUUCAUAUGUGCAUGUUGCCUGACCUAUUUGCAAUGCAGACACGAGCAGGGAGCCAUGUUGCCAGCCCUCACAGUGCCUUCCGUGCCCCUGCACGCCUGGACAAGGCGGGUGGGGUCCACACCGCCCAGCCAUCACCAAUAAUAAUAAUAAUAAUAUUAAUAAUAAUAAUAAUAAUAAUAUCUACGCAGGGCACAGGUGCCCGCGUGUCUUAAGGAGGAGUGAGACAAGCUCACCCCACCAUUGGAAAACUUGAUUUCCCUACCCCGGCUCCCCUGCGCGGGGGCCGCCAUUGGCGGUCCCCUGGGUGCGGCCUCCCGGGCGGCAUCGGGUGUUGGCAAUGCCCAUCUCUCGCUCUAGCCGGUAGUACAGGUUUGCGGUGCCCCGGAGUGUGGUGACGCCAUGCAUGUGGAGACGUGUGCAGCAGGCCUUGGCUGCCUGCGGUUUGGCUCCUAGGUCUUUGAGGAGAGUUUCAAGGGUACGGGGGACAGUGCCACCGUGUCCCAGUGUAAUAACGUGCUUGGUAUCGUAGUGCACAGUCCACCCUGCAGCUCGCAUGGCAGUGGCAAGGGUUGGCAUGCUGUGCUUGUUUUUGAAUGAGCUUCUCGCUGUGGUGCAGGUCAGAGGUGUAUCCAACUUCAAGGAUGUACACUGGGUAGGCCCCUUUGUUGGCUGGUGGGGAUGUCAUGAAGCGUUCUGCUUCGGACCGGGGAAGGUUCGGGAUAAACAGAAUGUCAGGCCGCAUCCUGUUGAGGUCUGCAGCGGGCACUUGCGGGCAGAGCCAUGACGGCGGCCGCAUGCCCGCACAGUACUCAGGCAGUUCAGCUCGGGAGGUGGCAUCCGUUAUCAUGUAGCCACCACCGUUGUGACCAUGGUGUAGGCAUUCGGCAAUCGUCCGCACUGCAGUGUUGUGUUUGGCUAUCCUAGCGCCAACGAGUUGGGGGUGCGCGCAGUGGCCGGCAAGGUGACCUGCGGUGCCACGCUCUGGGUCAGAUCCGCGGCUGCGCUGGGUGUGGGCACAGAGACCACAUUUGUCGCUGUCUUGUAGUUUAAACAAAGCCAGCCGGGCCGGGCAGAUGAGGCCUCCCUGACGAGCAUUCUGUAUGAACCGGCAUAGGCCGUGGCUGGCGUCCGAGUUUGUCAUGUACGCGUUACUGGCGCGUGGGUCAAGGCUGGGUGCUGCCUCGGCCCAUUUCUCAGUGUACAGGGUUUUGUUGGCGUAUCCACCACGGCAGCUGGGGGCCAUUGCCCUGGUGAGGCCCCGGUUUAGGUCCGACACGUAGUGCGUGGCUGUGCUAUCGUCGUCCCUGGUGACCGUGAAGGUUGGCCACCAGUGCCGGGCGUGCGGGUCGUUGUCGGCCGGUUCGGAUAAAUCGGCGGGUUUUUCCUGGGUGGCGACGGCAGCCGCCCCUUUAUCGGCUUCCUUGUUGCCGUGUAGCCCGGUGUGCGAGAUCACUUUAAUCAGGGCGGUGGGUGCGCCCCGGGCGUGGCGUGCAUGGAGCAAUGCCACGACUGAAUCCAGGAGGUCCCGAUGUUUACUCAGAUGCAGUCGCCGAGGCUCGUUAAUUGCUCGUUUGAUUAGGUACAAGCUUGCAACAGAAUCUGAUGCAAUAGUGAGCUUCUUAGUUGCAAAUUCUUUACCUUCGCCACCAAAUUCUGCGAGGGCAGCACGAAUUGCUGCCAGUUCAGCUCUCGUAAUAGUGUUUGUGCACCCAGCGCCAUUUGGAUUCACGUAGACAACGCGAGAAUCGCUGAACCAGGCGCAUGCGCCGGCAACCUGGACUUCUUUGCCAUUGUCAGUUUUGAUUUUGCUUACCGAACCAUCUGUCCAGACAGUGCCAUUCACGUCGUGGGCCAGAGCAUGGUGGGUCUGGAAUCGCGCGUUAGGAAAGCGUCGUGCUUCGUCAGCCAUGGCGUGUAUCGUCUUUGGGUUAGCGUGCUGGUAUUUGGCUUGCUUUAGAAGUGAGUUUGGGAGGGCCGGGCAGGUUGGGGCCGUGGCCGUGUGUGUCCACGUGCGCGGGUCGCUGAUGUGCGUGGGUGCGUUCGCCCCCCGUUUCAGUGUGUCCACGAGCCGUUUCAGGCGGGGGGCAAAGCACUGGAGUCCGGCGGGGUUCCCAACAAUGACCAGUCGGAGCCCCUUCUGGCGUUCAGCCUGGGUGUUGGUGCCAAGUCCUGUGUCAAGGCCCGCGGUGCCCGCGGACCAGUUGGCCAGCUCGUGGCAAAGUGGGUGUUGAAGCCACUGCGUGUGGGGGAAAGUGGCCGCUUUGGGGAGCGCCAAUACAGUAAGGGUUGGUUCCUGUGAGUCACGCAUAGCCUCGGCGCAUGCGAGGGCCCACAUGAGCGCCUUCCGUGCAUCGUGGGGGGUAGAGGGGGGGUGGGCAUAUUGCAAGCCGGUCCAUGCGGUCUGGUAGGCAUCGUGCAGUGCGCCAAAGGCCCCAUCAGCAGGGUCUCGUGUCCAGUAUUCGUGGGCUGCAGUGGAGGAGUUUAGUGGGGACGCAAACAUUUCCCGAAUGUGUACUGCUUGUGUGACCCGCAGGCAUUGGACGAUGGCUGCUACUGUGCCUGCCGGCAGCGACACCUGGUGCGUUGGCAUGGCCUUGCGGUCCUGCUGCGCCGGGUCAUAGCGGUAGCGCAUGAUGAGGGCAGCGACCGCUUCCUCAAAGGCGUUGGGCCGCUGGUUGCCGGUGUGCCUGAAGCGCUCCCACAGGGUAAGGAGGCGGGGGUAGGUGAUGGUGCCCAGCCAGCGGCCACUGGGUUCAUGGACGUGCGCCUCAGCUGGGUCACGGCGGGUGCCACCAGUGGUGGUAAUUGUGUAUGCUCUGGGGGCCACGAUGUCCUUGUAGGGGUUGCACGGGCUUGUGGUGAUGGUGGUGGUCGUGCGGAUGUCACGCGCGCGGGAUGCGGUAUCCAGGGGCUCGGCGUCGUGGCGGCCUUGGCGCUGUCUGGCGGUAAGGUUCCGAUCAGGUGCGGGGCGCACUGUUCGGGGCCGCGGGCCUUGGUUGGUACCGUUUGCUAGCCGGGUUUUGCACUCCUCCAGUAACUCCUCCCAUUGUGGACUGUGUUUUAGGUCCCGUUCACGGUCCGUGCUUGGCGCCCACGUGACAUGUCGUAGGAGUUUGGUCGUCCAGGACGAGAAUAGGGGGGCCCCAGUGGGCUGCGGUGCUGCCGGCUCUGCAGCUUGGGCAGGCUCUUCAGGUGAGAUUGCGUGGGCUUGGGUUUCAGCCGGAGGCUCAGCCUCGGUCUGCGCAGGUUGUGGGCAUGGGCGCGUCGCAAGAGGGUGCUUAUAACACCUGGCAUUCUGGAUAGUUGCGUAGCCCAUGCGAACAAAAGCAGAGACAAUGCCGGCCGGGCAAAUGGACGGCUUCCACUGCACCUUCCAGUAUUUUCACGUGUCCCAGAGGUGUCCUCUCUGGCUUUGCGCNNNNNNNNNNNNNNNNNNNNNNNNNNNNNNNNNNNNNNNNNNNNNNNNNNNNNNNNNNNNNNNNNNNNNNNNNNNNNNNNNNNNNNNNNNNNNNNNNNNNAUGGUGAUGUCUGGGCCUAGGCGAGGUGGUCGCUGGUCUGCGACGGUCCCGUGACAAGUCUAAGUUCUGCACGUCAGGCGCUGGGGGUUGGAGGCUGACAGGUAAAGUAGUAUUGGUCUCGUUGCAAAGCCGCUGUUUGCGAGUUCCAGGGAGGGGUUGCUGCGAUUGUUGCGUCGGCGUAGGCGCUGCGCUUCUCACGUUCAUCUGCUGAGAUCCAUAGCUUCCACUGGAGAGCUUAGAGCCUGCAAAGCAUAUUGCGGGAUUCGUCGCGACGAGGGUCGCGGGGGUGCAAAAUGGCGCGUAUUUUUGGGGUGGCAUCCGGUGCAUAGCCGUGGUCGCCACUUCCUCUGGACCCCCUGAUGUCAGAGACGGCGUCCAAGAUCGGGCCAAGAGGCCUGCGAGAGCUUGUAGCACUUCAGGGGUAUGGAAGGGUCGGACCUCCUCCGGCCAGUGGCUCGUCCGGACGAGUACUCCCAAGAUUAGCAUCACAUAGGUGAUAAGAACCAGCAUUUUGGCCAUUUUGGGGAAGAUCCCCGCGUUCGGCACGUCCCGCUCAAAUGUUGAGCUCGUCGGCGCUCUCGUAGUGUGGAGAGGCAACAGGGAGUAUUUAGAACGAUAAGUAUACUUGGAAACGGAAAAAAGAUAUUUCCGGGCAUGACCUAUUUGCAAUGCAGACACGAGCAGGGAGCCAUGUUGCCAGCCCUCACAGUGCCUUCAGUGCCCCUGCACGCCUGGACAAGGCGGGUGGGGCCCACACCGCCCAGCCAUCACCACACACCCCACCUGCCACACCCACCCUUGUGCACUGUUGUUUCACAUUUUCAUAUGUGCAUGUUGCCUGACCUAUUUGCAAUGCAGACACGAGCAGGGAGCCAUGUUGCCAGCCCUCACAGUGCCUUCAGUGCCCCUGCACGCCUGGACAAGGCGGGUGGGGUCCACACCGCCCAGCCAUCACCACACACCCCACCUGCCACACCCACCCUUGUGCACUGUUGUUUCACAUUUUCAUAUGUGCAUGUUGCCUGACCUAUUUGCAAUGCAGACACGAGCAGGGAGCCAUGUUGCCAGCCCUCACAGUGCCUUCAGUGCCCCUGCACGCCUGGACAAGGCGGGUGGGGUCCACACCGCCCAGCCAUCACCACACACCCCACCUGCCACACCCACCCUUGUGCACUGUUGUUUCACAUUUUCAUAUGUGCAUGUCGCCUGACCUAUUUGCAAUGCAGACACGAGCAGGGAGCCAUGUUGCCAGCCCUCACAGUGCCUUCAGUGCCCCUGCACGCCUGGACAAGGCGGGUGGGGUCCACACCGCCCAGCCAUCACCACACACCCCACCUGCCACACCCACCCUUGUGCACUGUUGUUUCACAUUUUCAUAUGUGCAUGUCGCCUGACCUAUUUGCAAUGCAGACACGAGCAGGGAGCCAUGUUGCCAGCCCUCACAGUGCCUUCAGUGCCCCUGCACGCCUGGACAAGGCGGGUGGGGCCCUGCCACCCAGCCAUCACCACACACCCCACCUGCCACACCCACCCUUGUGCACUGUUGUUUCACAUUUUCAUAUGUGCAUGUUGCCUGACCUAUUUGCAAUGCAGACACGAGCAGGGAGCCAUGUUGCCAGCCCUCGCUGUGCCUUCAGUGUUCCUGCACGCCUGGACAAGGCGGGUGGGGUCCACACCGCCCAGCCAUCACCACACACCCCAC